This 78-nucleotide unclassified non-coding RNA is filed under the name Epilithonimonas hungarica. RNAcentral's name for it is "Chryseobacterium hungaricum Flavo-1 RNA". Lineage: Bacteria; Pseudomonadati; Bacteroidota; Flavobacteriia; Flavobacteriales; Weeksellaceae. The record is from RNAcentral.
ACGCAGCCCGACCUGAGUGGAGCUCUUUUUCUUUUUUUGAUAAAAAAGAAAAAAGCGGGAACGGAGGGCGGAUUAAGC